UCCAACACGGGUCCUUUCCGCGGGCUGCAGUUCCUCACAAACUUCCCUGGCGUGGGUCCUUUCCACGGGCCGAUCUUCAGUCACAGACUGCUCCAGCGCGGGCUUUCCCACGGAGUCACGGCCAUCUUCAGGGGCAUCCACCUGCUCCGGCGUGGGCUCCUCCCCGGGCUGCAGGUGGGCAUCUGCUCCCCUCCGUGGGCUGCGGGGGGACAGCCUGCCAUCUCACCACGGGCUGCAGGGGCAUCCCCUCCUCCGGUGCACCUCCUCCCCUCCUUCUUCACUGACCUCAGUGUCUGCAGAGGGCUUCCUCUCACAUUCCAAUCCCCCUACUCACUGCAGGUUCCCCUUCUUAAAUCUGUUCUCCCAGAGGCGCUACCACCGUCGCUGAUGGGCUCGGCCUUGGCCAGAGGUGGGUCCGACUUGGAGCCGGGGAAGCUUCUAGCAGCUUCUCACAGGAGCCGCCCCUGUAGCCCCCUCCCCCGCUACCAAGAAACCCCACCACACAAACCCAUAACACAGGCACAAUGCCAAGAAGGUUGUAUUAAACAGUCUCUGCAGAUCCCUUCAAGUUCUGAAUUUCCAAUUUCUAACAAAUACCACAGCUAGCUAGCUGUGUUCGUACAAUAGCUAGCUCCAUUUGUGAAUAACAUGUAAGAAAAUGAAAAUACUUAGAGCCCACUGAGCCCAGUACCCUGAAGCCAGCAACACUAGUAACAGGUGCCUUAAGAAAAAGAUGAGCGCAGGGCAGAUGUAAUCUUCCUCCCUUUGCAUUCAAACCUUUUCAAAUUUACUGCCUUUUCAGCAGUGCAGACUUGACCUGUACAACAUGCUGAAGACGUGAGUUCCAUAGCUCAAGAUCUCUUUUCUCUCUCUCUCUUUUUUUUUUUUUUUUUUAAAUCUGCUAAUAGGCUUAUUGACCUCUUUAUCUUUUUACUAUGAACAAAACCAGUGGGCAGUUACUCUUUCUCUUUUUCCAUGUCAUUUGUGUUAUUAUAGACUUCCAGCAUAACUGCUUUGUCCCCCGAAGUAACAGUGUUGCUUGUACUACAUUGAUUUAAAGUUUAGCACUGUAAAAAUGUGAAAGCACAUCUGCUUUUAAUAACUGGAGGCUGAAAAUUGCAAGCUUACUGUACUUUCUGAGGUAAUAAUUGCAAUUUUACAGUUUCUACAAAAUGUUUAAGAGUUAGCUUCUGCACUUACAGUGUGGAACACAAGUUAGAAGCAAAAAAGCAUGCUUCUUCAGUUUCAGUAUGUUUUGCUAAAGAACAUAGACACUAUUUUAUAUAGUCACUCAUAUUAGUUAUGUAUCAUCCCUAUUUUUAUACACGUUGGCCGUCUUGGUCAAACCGAAAGACUUACUCUUGCUUAACAUCAAGAUGAACACACAUUGAAGGAUUCACCCACAAGCUGCAUUAACCUUUAUCUCGUAAACAGAGAAAAGCAUUUUCAAUAUGAUUAAAAUCAAAAGCCCGGCAGUAAAGACUUAGGCAUUUUUAACUCUUAAACCCUUUCUUAUGCAAACUCACCCUUCAGGCCUUUAAAAUUUUGUUUGUAUCCACUUGUUUUUUUCUAUUCCCCUUCUGCUUGUACAUGCUAGAAGCAGGCUCAGCAGCAGCCAGUGUGUUUUCCUGUCUGUAGAGGUCUAACCUAUAAAUGAAACCAGACAAUAUUGUGGAUGGUAAAUAUGAUACAGGGUGAGAAAGACUGAAGGGCCCGGGGUAUUAUUAACACUAUGUGUGUCUGUCUGUAGACAGACAGUAGGUGUGAUCACCACCGCAGGCCAUUUCACGCUGUCUCAAACAAGACUGUGAAAGCACCUUGCAGUGAAUUGUCAAAAAUCAGUAGGACUGCUUCUGUUCUUCAGCAGUCCUUGCCAAGAAGUAAAGCAUCAAAGAUGCACGCACAAACACAUGAAAUAUCUUUCUGUCUCAUAAAUGUUCCUGCUAGCGAGCUUUGAACCAGGCUGGAUGGCUGGAAGCAACCAUGUUAGAGAUGAACUGGAUGGUUUUUGUUGAUAGCACUUGUUCUUUUGAUAGUAAGACAUGGGUCUAUUGACAGAAUUUCAAACCAGUUGUUUUCAAAGCACUAAGUUUUACUUUCAGACACCACUUUAUAAUCAUGCUUUAAAACUAUUCAAAUAAUUGACUAUGACUUUCUAUUCCCUCCUAUGUGUGCUCAAGUACAGUAGAGAGAAGUGCCAGAGUAAGACGUCCGUGCUGUCUAAUUUGGGAACUCCAGUCUGUGUACAAGAGCAGGAAGGGGUGUAUUCUAAUGUAUGCUAUUGAUAGGGUUUGUGGGAGAUCCCCCUGCAGAGAUAUGUUUUUCUGUGCCCCUCCCUUGCCUCAGUUAACCUGUGAACACCCUUUUUUUCACUUUAUGCUGGACAUAACCUUUUUUUUGCAUACAAAAGGUGUUUUGAACAAGAAGCAGCAGAGGUGCUUUUGCCAGGUUUGUGCCAUCAAAAGUACACCAGACAAGGAGAAUUUUUCCUGAAAUGUGUAGCUGGUGAGGGAUCAUUUUGCAUAGCUGUAGUGUAGCCUUAGUAAGUGGAACGCCUGGGCUAAUUUUAGUGGAACUACUUUGUAUGUAUUUCAGGUAUAUCUGGCAGCAGUUUUGUACCUCCAUUUAAACAAAAAGGAAAAAGAAAUUUCUGGAGGACCCUUUGCUUAAAAUUUUCAGCAGGUUGACUAUUAUAUUUUGUAGCUACCUCCAGCAGGAAUUCUGGAAGUUCAAUAGUACAGACUGGGUAGGUAAACAUAGAGAUGUAUAAGUAAUGUAGAAAAAAUUCUGUUUCACAUACUCUGGUUAACAUACUCACUGAGUAUAUAUAUCUGGUGUCAUGAAUUUACUGAGGAGGUAGCUGCCUGUCCAGUUGUCAGAAUUCUUCUAAGUUGAACUGUGGGACAUGGGUUUUGACUAACUUAAGGAAGGCUGUUCCACAACGAACAUUACCAGGGAUGACACCGUAUCUCAAUAAUUGCUCUCUGAGUGAAAAAAUAGAUUAUUUCAGGUCUCUACAAAAAAUGAGAGAUGAAGUGUAGAAUGCUACUUGCUGUGUGAAACUGCAGACAAUGCCGGUGAAGGUGCAAGAAGAUAUUAGCCCUAGAGGCUGUGCUGUGAUCAAAGUCUGGAAAAUCCUGGGUUCUGAGGAAGAUCAUCAGGAAAAAUACAGCAAGCACCUGAAAAAGGCUCCAUCCUGGCAAGGCACCAUAUGUAUAUCAGGAAUGCUCUGGUGUUUUAUCUUGUUGCUGUUGCAGAGUGAUUAGGAGGAAUGGAACUUGCUUCUUACUCAGUAAAGGAUUCCCCAUGAGGGUAGAGUCACAUGCACUGUUAGGACCAGGAAGUUUUGUACACAUAAACGCAUGCACAUGGAAUCACAGAAUCACAGAACGGUUGAGGUUGGAAGGACUUCUGGAGGCUGAACUUGUGCCAAUGUUUUGUGGUUUUCAUUAUGAAAGACAACAUCAGUUAAAAGUCAACUCUAUGAAACAAAACGAAGUCCAGCUCGCUCUCUUCUGUACAGAAUAUAGAAUAAUCCCUGCUGUUAGCAGUGACUAAAAAUAUGUGGAGGAAUCAAAUCUGUUUAGUCAGUAAGUGACUGUAACAGGCUUUGAGGCACGUAGCUACUACUAACAGGGUGUUCUGGGGUAGCAGUAAACUACAGUAAUCUAGUGUUAACAAACAGUAAACAGUGGUAGAUACAGUGUUUUAAGUGUGAAUCACGAAGUGCAAACUAACCAUUGUUUUCUAGGAAAAAAUAUGUUUUGACGUUGUUUCUUCCCUCAUUUGUAGUAGUUGGCAAAAAUCUAAUCUUUGCACAGAGACCACUUCUUCAUCUAGCACAAGUUUUGUGAUGUUCUGCAAUACUAGUGUCCGACAUUGACUGGUGUUAAGCAACUGUGUGACCUUUCUAGAAGUCAGCCAUACUGCUUUGUGCCUCUCAGGGGUCAAGCCCAGAGCAUUCACAAGGCUUCAGGAGCAGUAUUGCCGAUGACUUCUAAAACAGAUUAAUUUUCAUUGUAACUGUGGCCCAAACUGUGCAAAAUUUUCUCACAUCCCUAAUCCACUGGAGUCAUCAAGACCAUUCAUGUGAGCAAUUUACUGACCUUCAUUUGUCUUGCUCUGUGCUGUAGAUAUUGGGCUGCUAUUUUCUUCUCCCAUACAACUUCUUUUCAACUAAACCUCUAGUUUUAGAUCUCAUUUGUGUUAACAAAGGAAUUCCUUUUAAAGUAUCAUCCAGUUACGCAUAUUCUUUUAAGGAAUAUAAUUUCACACUUGCAUGUUAUUCUGAGCUUGCAAAGUGUCUUCUGACAGUAAAAAGUUGAUCUCGGAUUCUCACUUAGAACGAGUAAGCAUAGAUCCAGUGCCUGCAAGAUAUAUCAAAUGAAAAGGGCUGUCUGAAUAAUAGAAGAGAAAAAAUAAUCUACCAUUCUUCAGUACAGAUUUGCAAUUUCAGCAGCAGAUGGCUCAGAUACAGCAGGGUCUGCCUAUAUGAAUAGCAACAUUGUUAUUCAUCUAUCAGCCUCAUUACACCUAGGCAGUCUGUCUGUGCCCUGUUAUAGGCACCCUAUUGUAACCCGAGAAUACAUUUUGAUCAAGAUGUAUAAUCCUGGCAUUAAAUAAGAACAUUUUAAAAUGGGAUUUUUGUGAGGAUGAUUAACAUGGCAUCCCAAAUUCUGAUCCUACUGUGAUGAGAAGAAGAAUGAAUUCAUCACCACUGCAUUUUGAAUCUUGGCACCUUGAGACAUUCUAGUGACUCAGAAGGCUGGAUUUGCUUUCUUAUCUGCAUAUUGAAUUUCAAGACCAAUGAUAGACCUUGAUGAUAGAAAAAUAGUCUGUAAUCAUCGGAAAGAUUCUCAUUAAAAUAAUGACACUGCAAAAAGCUUUAAUAGCAAAUGAGGAAGUAUCAACUUCUUUGAAGUGCAUAGAUUCAGUACUAGACAGAGGAGGGGUUAUGGCUAGCUUUCAUUUAGUAACUGAACUGAAAUAGAAGCAGUGAACAUAUACAACUGGAAUUAGGGCACAGUGUGUUUAAGGUUUUCAAAGAAGAUUAAAAAUAUCAGGAUUUGCAUUUGUUAUACAAUCAGGCAAAAUGUAGGGCCAGGGGAAGCUACCUUUUAAAAGAUGCCUACCUGGUAUUUUUAGAUCUUAAUAAAGCCUUUAAAUUUCUAUUCAAAACAUAUUUGUUUAACACAUUUGUUUAAGAAGCUGAAUCAGUUUCUGGGAUUUGUAGUGACUGAAAUUUCCAACCGUUUGCUUUCAGACAUGCAUUUGCAGGAACACCCAGUAUGGAUGAAAAGCAGUGUACAAAUUAGGAAUAUAAACAAAGACUGAGGAGUGGGUUGCCAUGUCAGAAAGUAGAAGGUGGCCACCAGCUGCAGUAAGUGGAGCCAGGACUAUCUGUUCCCCCUUAGAAAUUUACCCCUUAGAAAGUAGCCUUGGUGUACUGGAAGAGAACAUGAGAUAUAUAUCAGAAAACAGCUCUGAGGGGUGAGAACAGAAUCUAGAUUAAAGAUUUUCGUAUACACAUACACACAAACACUCACAAUUGAAAAACUUAAAGCUCAGAAGGGCACUGACUGGAGAGUACUGAGAUAGGGAAGCAAGUCAUCAGAGACUUAAAGACAGGGAGGGGAUCUCAAGUGGCUGUGCUGCAGAAAAUGCCUGUUUGGCUCUCACCUAAGAUAUAAGCCAUCAAAGAAGGCUCAUAUCAAAGUAAAGCUCACAUAUUUGUGAGCACGCCAAGAAGAAAAUAUUUGCUGGUGAGGCUAAUGGGGAAGAGAAAGCCAUUUCAACAGUAGCUUAGUAGUGACAGGACAAAGUAGCUGUGAUUAAAUGGUAUGAAUGAUAAACGUUUAAACCACAUUGUUCAGGAAAGAGAACUACUGAGGUGGUUUCUGUUACAUAGUUUGGCAUAUAUGUCUUUGAUCUGUGUACCUCUUACAACUAUCAAAAAGCAAUUUGGCCAUUCAAGCAGCCAGCUUCACAAGAAAUUGCUCUACUGAUUUACUGUUUAAGGUUGGACAAACCAACUACCCUUGUUUUAUUUUGCUGAAUUCUACCAUAGGUGUGGAAGCAUCUGUGUGUUUCACAGAAUUACAGAAUGGCUCAGGUUGGAAGGGACCUCUGGAGGGCAUCUGGUCCAACCCCCCUGCUCAAGCAGGGUCACCUACAGCCAGUUGCCCAGGACCAUGUCCAGACAGCUUCUGAAUAUCUCCAGGGAUGAAGAUCCCACAACUUCUCUGGGCAACCUGUGCCAAUGCUCGAAGCCCUUUCUGUGGUGAUUUCUACACAACAGUCCUGCUAUCUGGUUGUGUGGACACACAUACGGAUUUCAACAACCAAAUGCAAUGCAAGUUAAUGAAGCACGCUAUACCCAUAAGUGAAAGAAAUUAGUAUUUCACCUGCUGGAAAUUCCAAAAUAGAAGUAUCUAAAGAAAAGUGUGCUUGAAUACUAUGACUCUGGCCAUGCACGUUUUCAUCAGCAACUGAAGCACCAUGGUCUCUUCAGAUGAUAGGAAGAUCAGCAUGUCUCUUCACAAAACCAAAGUGAAACUCAUGGACAGCUAGAAAUUUCAGGGAAAUCUAAUUUUAUACUCCAGUGUGUGAAAUAUAAUUUAUGGGGUGGUGGGUGGUGGUGAUGGUAUGCAUUACAUCAAGGUGAUGUGCUACUAAGAGGAAGAAUUCAGAUGACAAUUUCUCCAGAAAAACCUGACUAGACAUUCUGGCAAAACACUGUUUCUUUGUUUAUAGUAAUUCUUCCAAUCGGCCUGUUGUGGACCUUACUGAAAAUUUCCAGAGGUUUUCAGUGUUUAAGGACUAUAUAUUUUUUUGCUUGCAAUGGGUUAUAAAAACUAUCCUUUAAAAAAAAUAAAGAAAUAUCCAAAUUAUUCCUUGUUUUUUCACAGAAAAUUGUCUUCCUCUUGCCUCUGCCCUCCUGUGACUGUAGAACAUGAAGCUCUUGUGUCUACUCUACCUCAGCUGAGGUAUUUAAGUAAUGGGCUGAAAGUGAAAAAUGGGGCUAAGAGGAAAAGAAAAUUUACUGUAGCUAAAACCAGUGAGCUUUAGUUGAUUUAUUUUUGGUUGUUAGCAUUGGGAUUUUUUUGUUGUUGUUGUUGUUUUCAAAAUUGAAACUAAUCUGAUGAGGCAAACUAAGGUGAAGUGGCUUGUCCAAAGUCACCCAAGACACAACCCUGGUCUCCUGGAACACAGUUUAUUGAUGUCUGUCCACCCCUUACGGUGGUGGUUACUACAGCACCUGCCCCAAGAGUAAGAGGGUAGGGCUGUAUUUCAAGGCUGCAUCAGUCUACGGUAGUUUUAAUCUGUAUUUCAGGAAAGCACCUCAGCCACCGGGUGCUGUGAAUUCAGAGUGAGUUUGUUUUUCAUGCCUCCCUUGAAGGCUGGCCAUGCUAUUACUUGAAGAUUAAAGUCAAAUAGUCAACAAGGCAGCAAAUAAGAAGUCAAUCAAUUGUAGUCCUGUUGCUGAAGCAAGUAGGGUGUAGGUUCAGCCCAACAAUAUUGAUUAAUCUUGACAGCUGUUCUCCCACUUAGGGUUAUAGCCUCUGGUUUUGAACCUGGGACAGUCUAGGGUAAAAUACAUGCACUUGCCUGGUAGCAGAGCAUGAUAUCCCCCACUGUGCCCUCUUUCAGAUGAGAGCACAUGGAGUCCUGCUUGUCUACUAUUCUUCUGGCCCCGUGACUGGCAUUGUUGACUGCAUGGCCUUAGGAAGGCUGGAGAGUGCCCCCUCUUUCACUUCAACCCUCCCAAAAGGGCCUUUACCUGCUGCUUUAGAUAUACUUCUACAAGUUGGAAGAUGUUGUUUCACUUCCUGAUAUGAAAAAUGUCUUGCUUUCUUCUGCUGCUCCGAACAUUUUAACAUCACUGGGAGACUCUUCGGUUGUACUUUAGGAUAAUGAAAAUAUUUGCAGACAUGCAAAAACAUGCUCUGUAUGGGCUUUAGAGGAUGACUACUUUAGCAGAUGCAGUGAGGAUAAGACAAUGAUACAUAAUUGCAGCUAAUUUUUUUGGUUGUCAAGUUUUAGUGUCUUAUUUUAGGCCUAUUGCUAUGGUUUUGAUAGAUUUCAUUGGAAGAUUACAUGCUGGUGCAACAGCUUUUUGAUAAAAAUUGUCUUUAGUUGGUUGGAAUGGAAUUUAGGGCUUAAACAAGCUAAAGAAGAACUCAAAUUUCAAGGCCAGGUCAGACAAUCAUGCAAAUCUGCAGCUGUCACUUUUUAAGAGACUGAAAUGAUAACGACCACACUUCAAUUGUUUCAUGAAAGAUCUUCAAGCAAAGCUGAAUUUUUUUUCCCCUUUGGAGAACUGGGAUUUCUUUAUCUUAAUGAAAUUCUUGUCUAUGGCACUGGUCUUUCCCCUUUCCUCCCCUAAACCAAAAAAAUUAUCCUUUUUUUUCCAGCUAUAACCUACUCUGCAAGUACAAACAUAUGCACAUUCUGAAGACUUACUGCACUCCUACCAAGUGGUGAACAACUCGUUGAGAUGGAGAAGUACUGCAUUUUACACGGCACCAUAUUGAUUACUGUAGAUAAGAAACGUGUUGUCUUAUUUGGGCUUUCCCUGGUGGCAGUUUAAAAGCAUUUAAAGAGGCUGCUGCUGGCCGCCCCUGAGGAGACAGCCCCCUUGGUAAUCAGUUUGGUUGGUGCCAGCUGUGGUACCUGGCACCCUGCCUCAGAAAAAUCCUGUUGGCAAUUUAAAGAGCUUGCUGUUGCAUCCCACAGCAUGAGGUGAGUUGCUGCUCCCAUUCUUUUGGGUAGAAAAUGGUUAAAAGCUCCCCAGGAGUGGGCUGGGUGGGUCAGGCAGGCAGCCCUGGGGGUAGGCAGGAGGUCUGCCAUUAUGGAGGGGAGAUAGACUUGAUGCUGCUUGUCCUCUUGAGGGUGAGGGGUGUGUUGUGUGGCCAAAAGCAGAAAGCUCACAGCAGCGUGUGGUUGUGAGGAAGGGGUGGGGGCACCAUGGAGCCUUGAGGGCUGCUGAGAAACGGGGUGGGGGCAGCCUCGGACUAGCAUGGUGGGGCGGCGGCCAUGUUGUAUCGCGGCAUGCCGGCCCUGGGGCUGAGACCACCUGUGUGAAACCAAACUGUCCAUGGAGUGUUGGCCUCCUGCCUGCAAACUGAGUUUGCGUGCGGCCUCGUGUGCCUCGUAAUCGGUAAGGGUAUGGGAUGGUACAGCUGUUAAGGAGUAGGGGCAUCUAGAACGUGCUAAUUUUUUGCUUUUUGCCUAAAUCCAGUGCGUUUCCUUGUCUACCUGUGAUGUCCCCUACGGCACAGUGCACUAAGGCAGGGUUGGUGUGGGGCGAAGAAGAAACCUGUAAGUCUUUCAUGGAAAAAUAUUCUCUUCUUUCCAGCUAGCUCAAUGGCUUACCUUUAUUAACUUGGAUCAUUUGUUUCAUCCCACAUUAUUUUAAAGAUGAACUGACAUAACUAGACUCCAGUUCAGUAGAUCUCAAACUUACCUCAGUUAGAUUUAUGGAACAAAAUCAUUUAUAUAUAAAGCAGCAUUUUAUGUGCUAACAUGAAUAUGGAAAUCCGGGAAAGGAAAAUAUGAAUUCCGAUACUUGAUCUCCUUGAAAUCCUGCAAGUAUAGCUACAGUGUAUUUCAAAUAACUGCCUUACUGAGGGAAAAUGUCUUAUAUUAUUCAAACCCCUGCUACCUGAUUUGAAUUUAUGACUGUCUAAAUAUGCUCUGUGGCUGAAUUACAAGGCAUGUGUGUAUAUUAAACCUGGUGACUGUGGGAAGUAAGUAACAGUGAUAUGCAACUUAAUGAUCAAAACCAAGAGCUGAUGUGACCAAUGGACUCUAAUAGAUGUAAGUAGUUUGAGUGCUUGUCAUCUAUCCACAUGAUCCUAGUGUUGGCAGCCUGUUGAAAGUGAUGCGUGGGAAACUAGUGCAAAGUGCUGAUUUAUUUUAUGCUAAUGGGGAAAAGUCCAUAUUGUUCAAAUUAAAUCCUAAAGCAGAAACAAAUCAUGCAGCCAAGCCCAUCCUAUGGAGUUUCAUUGAAACAGUUAGUGGUCUCUUUCGUGACCUCAGAGUUGUAAAAAUGAAACAAUGUUAGGGGGCUGCUGUUUUCAAGUGCUUCUGGCUGCUGAAAGCAGCUGAGAUUCUCCUACAGAUGGCUAUUUAAGUUAAAAGCCAA
Harpia harpyja (harpy eagle) is the source of this 10147-nucleotide long non-coding RNA. RefSeq lists it as uncharacterized. The record is from RefSeq and is a predicted model, not a curated record. The transcript has 5 exons. Lineage: Eukaryota; Metazoa; Chordata; Aves; Accipitriformes; Accipitridae.